RNAcentral lists this long non-coding RNA (557 nucleotides) under Lathyrus oleraceus (garden pea). RNAcentral describes it as "Pisum sativum (pea) long non-coding RNA (PSAT_LNC033320)". The record is from RNAcentral. Lineage: Eukaryota; Viridiplantae; Streptophyta; Magnoliopsida; Fabales; Fabaceae.
UAAAAUGCUACAUAUGAGUAUUGAACCCGCUCCACUUAAGACUAUGAAACUACCCUCUCUCCACUAAGCCAUCUAUGAUUAGUUAAAAACUAACUGACAACUUAGCUAUAUAAACCAAAAUAGAUUAAAGUAUGAAUUAAAAUAAAAAUAAAAAUAAAAGUGGGGUGGUCUAUUUAUUGGACGGUUAAUUAAAACAAAAAGGAGGAAUCCCAAAAGGUGACCCUAGCCGCCUGGCUAUUGGGUUCACAAGAUUAGGGAUUGGGUACACAAAAAUAACAAUUAAUUACAACUAAUACCAAUAAACCAAAUUUAAUGACCAAAUGAGAAGUAACGUUCACUUAGUGGAGAUUCAAUGGUCUGCCUAAUAAAAAGCAAAUAAAUAAUAAUAAUAAAAAAAUAAAAAAAUAAAAGGAAAAGGUAAGGACAACGAAACUCAGUUCUCAAAACCUCACGCACGAAAUCUCUCUUCUCUCAAUCGCUACCAGCAAGCUCUCUCCAUCGCCCUCAAUGAAAUCGCUCCCUCAUCGCUCUCUCAAUCUCCAAUCUCACUCAAUCGC